RNAcentral lists this ribosomal RNA (909 nucleotides) under uncultured soil bacterium. RNAcentral describes it as "bacterial SSU rRNA". It matches the Rfam family "Bacterial small subunit ribosomal RNA", at positions 8 to 920 of the family's 1533-position model. The record is from RNAcentral.
AGAGUUUGAUCCUGGCUCAGGAUGAACGCUAGCGGCAGGCCUAAUACAUGCAAGUCGAGGGGCAGCGGGAGUAGCAAUACUUGCCGGCGACCGGCGCACGGGUGCGUAACACGUAUGCAAUCUACCCUUUACUGAGGGAUAGCCCGGAGAAAUCCGGAUUAAUACCUCAUAAAACAUAGAGUCGGCAUCGACUUUAUUUUAAAGAUUUAUCGGUAAAGGAAGAGCAUGCGACUGAUUAGCUAGUUGGUAGUGUAAUGGACUACCAAGGCCACGAUCAGUAGGGGACCUGAGAGGGUGAUCCCCCACACUGGUACUGAGAUACGGACCAGACUCCUACGGGAGGCAGCAGUAGGGAAUAUUGGGCAAUGGACGAGAGUCUGACCCAGCCAUGCCGCGUGCAGGAAGAAGGCCUUCUGGGUUGUAAACUGCUUUUGAUCGGGAACAAAACCCCUAUGCGUAGGGAAUUGAGGGUACCGAUAGAAUAAGCACCGGCUAACUCCGUGCCAGCAGCCGCGGUAAUACGGAGGGUGCAAGCGUUGUCCGGAUUUAUUGGGUUUAAAGGGUGCGUAGGCGGCUAUUUAAGUCAGUGGUGAAAUCCUGCAGCUCAACUGUAGAAUUGCCAUUGAUACUGGAUAGCUUGAGUACAGACGAGGUACGCGGAAUUUAUGGUGUAGCGGUGAAAUGCAUAGAUACCAUAAAGAACCCCUAUUGCGAAGGCAGCUUACUAGGCUGUAACUGACGCUGAGGCACGAAAGCGUGGGAUCAAACAGGAUUAGAUACUCUUGCUAGUCCACGCCGUAAACGAUGAUUACUCGAUGUUCGCGAUAUACAGUGAGCGUCCAGCGAAAGCGUUAAGUAAUCCACCCUGGAGUACGAUCGCAGAUUGAAACUCAAGGAAUUGACGGGUCC